UACGUAGGGUGCAAGCGUUAUCCGGAAUUAUUGGGCGUAAAGAGCUCGUAGGCGGUUUGUCGCGUCUGCUGUGAAAACUGGGGGCUCAACUCCCAGCCUGCAGUGGGUACGGGCAGACUAGAGUGCGGUAGGGGAGAUUGGAAUUCCUGGUGUAGCGGUGGAAUGCGCAGAUAUCAGGAAGAACACCAAUGGCGAAGGCAGCUCUCUGGGACGGUACUGACGCUGAGACGCGAAAGCGUGGGGAGCGAACAGG
This 253-nucleotide ribosomal RNA is filed under the name uncultured bacterium. RNAcentral's name for it is "partial 16S ribosomal RNA". It matches the Rfam family "Bacterial small subunit ribosomal RNA", at positions 524 to 776 of the family's 1533-position model. The record is from RNAcentral.